Molecule: ribosomal RNA, 253 nt
Filed under: uncultured bacterium
Lineage: Bacteria
Description: partial 16S ribosomal RNA
Rfam family: Bacterial small subunit ribosomal RNA
Source: RNAcentral
UACGUAGGGGGCAAGCGUUGUCCGGAUUUAUUGGGCGUAAAGAGCGUGUAGGCGGCCACACAGGUCAGCUGUGAAAACUCGAGGCUCAACCUCGAGACGUCGGUUGAAACCGUAUGGCUAGAGUCCGGAAGAGGAGAGUGGAAUUCCCGGUGUAGCGGUGAAAUGCGCAGAUAUCGGGAAGAACACCCGUGGCGAAGGCGGCUCUCUGGGCCGUAACUGACGCUGAGGAGCGAAAGCGUGGGGAGCGAACAGG